Meleagris gallopavo (turkey) is the source of this 757-nucleotide non-coding RNA. Lineage: Eukaryota; Metazoa; Chordata; Aves; Galliformes; Phasianidae. The record is from RefSeq and is a predicted model, not a curated record.
GACUGUUCCAGUGAUUCUGGGACACUGUUCGACCAACGGAAACAUCUCCACUGUAUCAACUCAAGAUAAUAACAGGUGCAAAGGAAAGCUGACGCACCUCGCCAUUUCUUUCAGAGAAAUAUGAUGACUACAGCAUACAUAUACAAAGGACCUUUAAGAAAGUCUUCUUAACAUGAUCGUUGUCAGCCUCUUACCUUCUACCUUCUUCUUUGCUGCUCCGCUUUGCAGUGUGUGGCCUCACCUCAAGCACUGGGUACAGUUUUGGGUGCCACAACAUAAGAAAGCCAUAAAACUGUGAGAGAGCAUCCAAAGGAGGACUAUGACGAUGGUGGGAGAUCUGGAGGGCAAGGUUCAAGGCACAUCGUGGCUGCAGAACUUGAUCUUGGGAAGCAGUGGAAGUUAGCGGGAAUAUCAGUGUGAACACUGAGGGAGUACAGUGAUCUGGCAAGGAGCUACAGCCCUUGAGUUACUCCAGCAAGAUGAGGAUGUCCCAUGCCUCCCAGCAACACAGGCUGCCAGGAGUGCAUCAAACCUCCAAAACUCUGUCCUGAGGAGUUGAGCCAGGUUCCAAGACUCCAUCAUUAUCUUCAAAGUGGUUUGCAGCAUGAACUGUAGACUUGGAAGUUUUAGUUGAAAGAUGGAGGAAAGCAGAAGGCUCCUCAACAAGAAGCAUGAUAAUUGGAUAACUUGUAUUUUUGUGCAUAUAUGCACAUUGUGCCUACAACAGGCUGCAGUUAUUCUGAAAAUAAAAGAAACU